Molecule: ribosomal RNA, 253 nt
Filed under: uncultured bacterium
Lineage: Bacteria
Description: partial 16S ribosomal RNA
Rfam family: Bacterial small subunit ribosomal RNA
Source: RNAcentral
UACGUAGGGGGCAAGCGUUGUCCGGAUUUAUUGGGCGUAAAGAGCGUGUAGGCGGCCAGGGAGGUCCGUUGUGAAAACUCGAGGCUCAACCUCGAGACGCCGAUGGAAACCCCCUGGCUAGAGUCCGGAAGAGGAGAAUGGAAUUCCUGGUGUAGCGGUGAAAUGCGCAGAUAUCAGGAAGAACACCCGUGGCUAAGGCGGUUCUCUAGUACGGUACUGACGCUGAGACUCGAAAGCGUGGGGAGCAAACAGG